CAGUCGAACGCGUCUCCGUUGAUGAUUUUAGGUGCUUGCACUUGAAACCCUUAACAUUGAGACGAGUGGCGAACUGGUGAGUAACACGUGCGUAACCUGCCCUUGAAGUAGGGGAUAACACUUGGAAACAGGUGCUAAUACCGUAUAACAACCAAAACCACCUGGUUUUGGUUUAAAAGACGGCUUCGGCUGUCACUUUAGGAUGGACCCGCGGCGCAUUAGCUUGUUGGUAAGGUAACGGCUUACCAAGGCGAUGAUACGUAGCCGACCUGAGAGGGUAAUCGGCCACAUUGGGACUGAGACACGGCCCAAACUCCUACGGGAGGCAGCAGUAGGGAAUCUUCCACAAUGGACGAAAGUCUGAUGGAGCAACGCCGCGUGAGUGAUGAAGGGUUUCGGCUCGUAAAACUCUGUUGUUGGAGAAGAACAGGUGUCAGAGUAACUGUUGACAUCUUGACGGUAUCCAACCAGAAAGCCACGGCUAACUACGUGCCAGCAGCCGCGGUAAUACGUAGGUGGCAAGCGUUGUCCGGAUUUAUUGGGCGUAAAGCGAGCGCAGGCGGUUUUUUAGGUCUGAUGUGAAAGCCUUCGGCUUAACCGGAGAAGUGCAUCGGAAACCGGGAGACUUGAGUGCAGAAGAGGACAGUGGAACUCCAUGUGUAGCGGUGAAAUGCGUAGAUAUAUGGAAGAACACCAGUGGCGAAGGCGGCUGUCUGGUCUGUAACUGACGCUGAGGCUCGAAAGCAUGGGUAGCGAACAGGAUUAGAUACCCUGGUAGUCCAUGCCGUANACGAUGAGUGCUAAGUGUUGGAGGGUUUCCGCCCUUCAGUGCUGCAGCUAACG
This 843-nucleotide ribosomal RNA is filed under the name uncultured bacterium. RNAcentral's name for it is "bacterial SSU rRNA". It matches the Rfam family "Bacterial small subunit ribosomal RNA", at positions 59 to 857 of the family's 1533-position model. The record is from RNAcentral.